CCUACGGGAGGCAGCAGUCGGGAAUAUUGGGCAAUGGAGGAAACUCUGACCCAGCAAUACCGCGUGAAGGAUGAAGGUUUUCGGAUUGUAAACUUCUGUUAUAAAGGAAGAAAAAAAUUACGGUACUUUAUAAUUAAGCCCCGGCAAACUAUGUGCCAGCAGCCGCUGGGAUACAUAGGGGGCAAGCGUUGUACGGAAUGACUGGGUGUAAAGGGUGUGGAGGUUGCUUUUUAAGUUAGAGGUGAAAGCCCGUAGCUCAACUUCGGAACUGCCUUUAAAACUGGUUGGCUUGAGUGUGGGAGAGGUUGGUGGAACUCCUGGUGUAGCGGUGGAAUGCGUAGAUAUUAGGAAGAACAUCAGAGGCGAAGGCGACUAACUGGAACAUUACUGACACUGAAACACGAAAGCGUGGGGAGCAAACAGGAUUAGAUACCCGGGUAGUG
Molecule: ribosomal RNA, 443 nt
Filed under: uncultured bacterium
Lineage: Bacteria
Description: partial 16S ribosomal RNA
Rfam family: Bacterial small subunit ribosomal RNA
Source: RNAcentral